ACACGUAGGGGCCUGACGUUGUUCGGAAUCAUUGGGCGUAAAGGGCGCGCAGGCGGCCGUCCAAGUCCGGUGUUAAAUGGUCGGGCUCAACCCGAUCAUGCGCUGGAAACUGGGCGGCUUGAGUCCCGUAGGGGAUGCCGGAAUUCCAGGUGUAGGGGUGAAAUCUGUAGAUAUCUGGAAGAACACCGAUGGCGAAGGCAGGCAUCUGGCCGGAGACUGACGCUGAGGCGCGAAGGCGCGGGGAGCGAACAGGUUUAGAUACCCUGGUAGUCCGCGCAGUAAACGAUGCGCACCAGGUGUCGGGCGGCAGCGCCCGGUACCGGAGCUAACGCGAUGAGUGCGCCGCCUGGGGAGUAUGCCCGCAUGGGUGAAACUUAAAGGAAUUGACGGGG
RNAcentral lists this ribosomal RNA (392 nucleotides) under uncultured bacterium. RNAcentral's name for it is "partial 16S ribosomal RNA". It matches the Rfam family "Bacterial small subunit ribosomal RNA", at positions 523 to 918 of the family's 1533-position model. The record is from RNAcentral.